This 483-nucleotide ribosomal RNA is filed under the name uncultured bacterium. RNAcentral's name for it is "partial 16S ribosomal RNA". It matches the Rfam family "Bacterial small subunit ribosomal RNA", at positions 30 to 507 of the family's 1533-position model. The record is from RNAcentral.
AUUGAACGCUGGCGGCAGGCCUAACACAUGCAAGUCGAGCGGAUGAAGGGAGCUUGCUCCUGGAUUCAGCGGCGGACGGGUGAGUAAUGCCUAGGAAUCUGCCUGGUAGUGGGGGAUAACGUCCGGAAACGGGCGCUAAUACCGCAUACGUCCUGAGGGAGAAAGUGGGGGAUCUUCGGACCUCACGCUAUCAGAUGAGCCUAGGUCGGAUUAGCUAGUUGGUGGGGUAAAGGCCUACCAAGGCGACGAUCCGUAACUGGUCUGAGAGGAUGAUCAGUCACACUGGAACUGAGACACGGUCCAGACUCCUACGGGAGGCAGCAGUGGGGAAUAUUGGACAAGGGGCGAAAGCCUGAUCCAGCCAUGCCGCGUGUGUGAAGAAGGUCUGCGGAUUGUAAGCACUUUAAGUUGGGAGGAAGGGCAGUAAGUUAAUACCUUGCUGUUUUGACGUUACCAACAGAAUAAGCACCGGCUAACUUCGUG